Molecule: long non-coding RNA, 1422 nt
Organism: Sycon ciliatum
Lineage: Eukaryota; Metazoa; Porifera; Calcarea; Leucosolenida; Sycettidae
Exons: 2
Source: RefSeq, a predicted model, not a curated record
GAUUUCGUCUUGUAUGAUUUACGCAUGUCGUUUUAUUUGGUUCUUGUCUUGUGGAGUCCAGUGUCUGAUGUCAUAUAUGGUCUAAGUGUACGCGCGAGUAUGGUGUGAUGUGUGACGUUUAUGGUAUGUGAUGCAUGCAAGAGUACGCGUUGUCAGAGUGUGAGGAUGUGCUUCCGUCUGUGUGAGAGUGACUGUCAAGUGAAUGCAGUACAUGCGCAGUGCUAGUUUGGUCUGGGAAUGAGAGUCGUGUGUGAUUCGUCCGUGGUCUGGUUGUCGUGGUCUUGGUCAUGUGUUCUGUACGUAUUCGUCCCUGAUUGGUCGUCUCGAUUUGUCCUCGGUUUAUUACUGCUUGUUCUUUGUUGAUCCUCUUAGUCUUUUCCCGGGAGUCUUUCCCGUCGUCGUUUUCCGUCUAGUCUUUUCGUCUUUCUCCUCCUGUGCCCUCGCCGUUUAUUAUUGAAGUGAAUACUAGUAUGGAAGCUAACGGAAUGGUGCGUUGUUGAGUGACCGGGGCCAGGGGGAGAAGCCUACAACCAUUUCCUUUACAGUGGCGCCCAACGGUAUUUCGACGCGGAGUUCUGCCUCCGCAGCCCACGACCCUGGGAUCGUUUUGUUUUCGCCGUGGCUUCAGUUCGUGCUCGCCGUUUCGAAAUAUAUUUUAUUUCUCUCGUCGACCAACUCACUUCACCGAGAUUGCUACUACGGCCAUGGAGAUGGAAAGGCGUUCGCCAGCCUGGCCUGCAGGCCCCUUCCCCGACGCCGAUUUCCCAAGAUUCUGCACCCAUGAAGGCUUCCUAUUCCAAAUCGGAUCACACAUCUCUGGCCACAGCAUUCCGUUGUCUUAUCGUUUAGUUGUGUUUCCCCUUGUUUCUUUUUUCUGACCUUUGUCGUUUGUUCUGAAAGAGUCGAGGUCGACUCUCGCUGGAGGGGAAUGCUGUGUUACGGAUUUCGUCUUGUAUGAUUUACGCAUGUCGUUUUAUUUGGUUCUUGUCUUGUGGAGUCCAGUGUCUGAUGUCAUAUAUGGUCUAAGUGUACGCGCGAGUAUGGUGUGAUGUGUGACGUUUAUGGUAUGUGAUGCAUGCAAGAGUACGCGUUGUCAGAGUGUGAGGAUGUGCUUCCGUCUGUGUGAGAGUGACUGUCAAGUGAAUGCAGUACAUGCGCAGUGCUAGUUUGGUCUGGGAAUGAGAGUCGUGUGUGAUUCGUCCGUGGUCUGGUUGUCGUGGUCUUGGUCAUGUGUUCUGUACGUAUUCGUCCCUGAUUGGUCGUCUCGAUUUGUCCUCGGUUUAUUACUGCUUGUUCUUUGUUGAUCCUCUUAGUCUUUUCCCGGGAGUCUUUCCCGUCGUCGUUUUCCGUCUAGUCUUUUCGUCUUUCUCCUCCUGUGCCCUCGCCGUUUAUUAUUGAAGUGAAUACUAGUAUGGAAGCUAA